Molecule: microRNA, 20 nt
Filed under: Gallus gallus (chicken)
Lineage: Eukaryota; Metazoa; Chordata; Aves; Galliformes; Phasianidae
Description: gga-miR-1813
Source: miRBase by way of RNAcentral
UUCUGUGGCUGCAAGGAGAG